This 505-nucleotide ribosomal RNA is filed under the name uncultured bacterium. RNAcentral describes it as "partial 16S ribosomal RNA". It matches the Rfam family "Bacterial small subunit ribosomal RNA", at positions 29 to 523 of the family's 1533-position model. The record is from RNAcentral.
AGUGAACGCUGGCGGUAGGCCUAACACAUGCAAGUCGAACGGCAGCACAGGAGAGCUGCUCUCUGGGUGGCGAGUGGCGGACGGGUGAGGAAUACAUCGGAAUCUACUUUUUCGUGGGGGAUAACGUAGGGAAACUUACGCUAAUACCGCAUACGACCUACGGGUGAAAGCAGGGGAUCUUCGGACCUUGCGCGAUUGAAUGAGCCGAUGUCGGAUUAGCUAGUUGGCGGGGUAAAGGCCCACCAAGGCGACGAUCCGUAGCUGGUCUGAGAGGAUGAUCAGCCACACUGGAACGGGGACACGGGCCAGACUCCUACGGGAGGCAGCAGUGGGGAAUAUUGGACAAUGGGCGCAAGCCUGAUCCAGCCAUACCGCGUGGGUGAAGAAGGCCUUCGGGUUGUAAAGCCCUUUUGUUGGGAAAGAAAUCCAGCUGGUUAAUACCCGGUUGGGAUGACGGUACCCAAAGAAUAAGCACCGGCUAACUUCGUGCCAGCAGCCGCGGUAA